Long non-coding RNA from Argiope bruennichi, 596 nucleotides. RefSeq lists it as uncharacterized. The transcript has 4 exons. The record is from RefSeq and is a predicted model, not a curated record. Lineage: Eukaryota; Metazoa; Arthropoda; Arachnida; Araneae; Araneidae.
CCGGUUUCUCCUCAUGGACUUCGAAAACAACAGUUCCAAAGUAGGGGCUUCGAACACAAACGGGGUAGUUUUGGAAUUGAAAAAAAAAGUCUUACAGAAAUAGGAACGAGGCAAGUUUAUAAGGGAAGGUCGCUUCAAUUUGCAUAAUCUCAGCUCUAAUACAUCAACGUCUGACGCCAAUAUUUAGCUACUGCACUUUUGACUUGGUGGUUACAGGUGAUGUGUUAAUGAGAAAUCCUCGAUGCUUCAUUCUGUAUUUUUGACAGUCUAAAGAGGCAGAAGGUAUCGGAUUCUGCGCUCUGCAACAACGAAAGAAGAUGUAUAGAUGUGUACAGAACACUCAUCGGAAUUGCGCCGUGUGAAAGACUGACAAAAGCGCUUCUAUAUCCUCGUAAUUGUUUUUGCUACAUAGACAAUGUACGGCUACUCAAAUGCUAAACAAGCUGAUAAAGCCUUGGUAAAUUGUUUUUGGAACACCACAAUAUAUCCACGAUCUUUGAUCAUGUGGCUUUGACAUGUUUGUUUCACUAUAAAAGAUUUUUUUUUAAUUUAUUUAUUUGGACAGCAAAGUCAUGGAAACUAUCAAAAAUCAGUUU